RNAcentral lists this long non-coding RNA (204 nucleotides) under Elaeis guineensis (African oil palm). RNAcentral's name for it is "long non-coding RNA (EGUI_LNC053448)". Lineage: Eukaryota; Viridiplantae; Streptophyta; Magnoliopsida; Arecales; Arecaceae. The record is from RNAcentral.
GGAUCUUUACUACUAUUUAUGGACCAACCGGUCUGAACUCUAAAGCUAAUUUCUGGAGAGAGUUAAUUGAAGUUCGAAAAUCUUUCCCUGGUCCUUGGGUGAUGGGCGGAGAUUUCAGUGCUGCUUAUAAAUUAUUUGAAAGGAAUGAAAAUCCACAGCCUCGUAGUGUUACUCUGGCCUUCUCUCGAUUAAUCAGAUCUUUUC